This is a non-coding RNA of Castor canadensis (American beaver), 72 nucleotides long. The record is from the annotation of a RefSeq genome assembly. NCBI's taxonomy places the organism in Eukaryota, Metazoa, Chordata, Mammalia, Rodentia, Castoridae.
GGUGGAGUGGCUCAGUAGUAGAGCACCUGCCCAGAAAGCAUGAGGUCCUGAGUUCAAAUCCCAGUGCCACCA